AGUACGGCGGAACACGAGAAAUUCCGUCGGAAUCCGCGGGGACCAUCCCGCAAGGCUAAAUACUCCCUAGUGACCGAUAGUGAACCAGUACCGUGAGGGAAAGGUGAAAAGCACCCCGGAAGGGGAGUGAAAUAGAUCCUGAAACCGUGUGCCUACAACAAGUCAAAGCUCGUUAAUGAGUGAUGGCGUGCCUUUUGUAGAAUGAACCGGCGAGUUACGAUUGCAUGCGAGGUUAAGUCGAAGAGACGGAGCCGCAGCGAAAGCGAGUCUGAAUAGGGCGAAUGAGUAUGUAGUCGUAGACCCGAAACCAUGUGAUCUACCCAUGUCCAGGUUGAAGGUGCGGUAAAACGCACUGGAGGACCGAACCCACGUACGUUGAAAAGUGCGGGGAUGAGGUGUGGGUAGCGGAGAAAUUCCAAACGAACUUGGAGAUAGCUGGUUCUCUCCGAAAUAGCUUUAGGGCUAGCCUCGGAAUUGAGAAUGAUGGAGGUAGAGCACUGUUUGGACUAGGGGCCCAUCUCGGGUUACCGAAUUCAGAUAAACUCCGAAUGCCAUUCAUUUAUAUCCGGGAGUCAGACUGCGAGUGAUAAGAUCCGUAGUCGAAAGGGAAACAGCCCAGACCACCAGCUAAGGUCCCAAAAUAUAUGUUAAGUGGAAAAGGAUGUGGGGUUGCACAGACAACUAGGAUGUUGGCUUAGAAGCAGCCACCAUUUAAAGAGUGCGUAAUAGCUCACUAGUCGAGUGACCCUGCGCCGAAAAUGUACCGGGGCUAAACAUAUUACCGAAGCUGUGGACUACACCAUUAGGUGUAGUGGUAGGAGAGCGUUCUAAGGGCGUUGAAGGUCGAUCGUGAGGACGGCUGGAGCGCUUAGAAGUGAGAAUGCCGGUAUGAGUAGCGAAAGACAGGUGAGAAUCCUGUCCACCGUAUGACUAAGGUUUCCUGGGGAAGGCUCGUCCGCCCAGGGUUAGUCGGGACCUAAGCCGAGGCCGAUAGGCGUAGGCGAUGGACAACAGGUUGAUAUUCCUGUACCAGUUGUUUUUGUUUGAGCAAUGGAGGGACGCAGUAGGCUAAGGAAUGCAUGCGAUUGGAAGUGCAUGUCCAAGCAAUGAGUCUUGAGUAGAGUUAAAUGCUUUACUCUCUAAGGACAAGUUGUGACGGGGAGCGAAAUAAUAGUAGCGAAGUUCCUGAUGUCACACUGCCAA
This 1203-nucleotide ribosomal RNA is filed under the name Enterococcus faecalis. RNAcentral's name for it is "partial 23S ribosomal RNA". It matches the Rfam family "Bacterial large subunit ribosomal RNA", at positions 411 to 1611 of the family's 2925-position model. Lineage: Bacteria; Bacillati; Bacillota; Bacilli; Lactobacillales; Enterococcaceae. The record is from RNAcentral.